This 232-nucleotide ribosomal RNA is filed under the name uncultured bacterium. Its description in RNAcentral is "partial 16S ribosomal RNA". It matches the Rfam family "Bacterial small subunit ribosomal RNA", at positions 99 to 334 of the family's 1533-position model. The record is from RNAcentral.
CGGACGGGUGAGUAAUGUCUGGGAAACUGCCUGAUGGAGGGGGAUAACUACUGGAAACGGUAGCUAAUACCGCAUAACGUCGCAAGAACAAAGAGGGGGACCUUAGGGCCUCUUGCCAUCGGAUGUGCCCAGAUGGGAUUAGCUUGUUGGUGGGGUAACGGCUCACCAAGGCGACGAUCCCUAGCUGGUCUGAGAGGAUGACCAGCCACACUGGAACUGAGACACGGUCCAG